GUGCAAUACUGGUUCAGAGUGCUCUAAAGCACCGGUUUAGUUUUAGCGUGAAUUUGUAUUGAACUAGGUGAAAAACAGGGAAAUCUGGUCGGUAAGCAUUCCGUAGUUGUCGAAAACGUUAUCCGAGCAAGUGCGACUCAGAGGGGUUCACAAUCGUCGCGAAAAGGAGCAUUGUUGCGAAGGAAUAUUCCGAGGCUAGAUCGCUAAAAGAAUUUUAUAAUUUAUCAAUUACGCCGAAUAAAUUUAUUGAAUUUGAAUCUAGUUCCUCGCUGCUCUCGCAACAUUUUAUAAAAUUCUUUUACCAUGUCGGAGAAGUCGACGCAUUGUGUAGCAAAUCCCACUGGAGUACCAGGAAACACCGACAACAUCACCGGAGCGGCCACAGCAACGAACGCAAGUAAUGUCCCCUCCGUUGUCAUACUGCCACCUCCUAGCGUUGGAGAACAGGUAAAUUUCGAAGUUGUCCCGACUCGAGUCCGCCCGAUCAUAGCGAGCACCGUCAAUGUUGGUCAGAUGAUGCGCGGAACUGAGAGUACCGUUCGUAGAAAUCCGUUACGUGAAGUUCGUAGAAACGUAGAUCAUCGGUGCAGAUUGUGUGAGAAGCGUGACAAUGAAGAAAUGGUGCAGUGUGAUGGAUGUGAUAGAUGGUUCC
RNAcentral lists this long non-coding RNA (652 nucleotides) under Aedes aegypti (yellow fever mosquito). RNAcentral describes it as "lncRNA AAEL021192". Lineage: Eukaryota; Metazoa; Arthropoda; Insecta; Diptera; Culicidae. The record is from RNAcentral.